RNAcentral lists this ribosomal RNA (402 nucleotides) under Triticum aestivum (bread wheat). RNAcentral describes it as "partial small subunit ribosomal RNA". The record is from RNAcentral. Lineage: Eukaryota; Viridiplantae; Streptophyta; Magnoliopsida; Poales; Poaceae.
AUGGAGAUGAAACCCAAAAGAUUUUCGUUGGGGCGUAACCCUCUCAGUGACGCGCCACAUCGGAACCCGGGUGUGGUGGAAAAUGGGCAAGGGCCGGGCCGUCACCCCCCAAGUGGCGCGCCGUAUCUUGAUCCGGAUACGGUGGCAAGUGAGCGAGGAUCGGGCCGUCGCAUCCUUAGUGGCGCGCUACAUCGGCGACCGGAUGUAGUGGAAAAUGAGCAAGGGUCUUCGCAUUUGACUCGACGAGUGCGAAGGGUAAGGAAGCUAGCCGAGCCUAGGAGGAUUCGCUUAGGUAGCUGGAACGUAGGGUCUCUGACAGGGAAGCUUCGGGAGCUAGUUGAUGCAGCAGUGAGGAGAGGUGUUGAUAUCCUUUGCGUCCAAGAAACCAAAUGGAGAGGAUAG